Molecule: unclassified non-coding RNA, 284 nt
Organism: Cricetulus griseus (Chinese hamster)
Lineage: Eukaryota; Metazoa; Chordata; Mammalia; Rodentia; Cricetidae
Gene: 7SK
Rfam family: 7SK RNA
About the family: 7SK was discovered as an abundant small nuclear RNA in the mid-70s but a possible function has only recently been suggested. Two independent studies have found that 7SK RNA binds the CDK9/cyclin T complex (known as elongation factor P-TEFb).
Source: Ensembl
AGAUGUGAGGGAAUCUCCCUGUGACAUCUAUCACACGGUAGAUGAUCUGGCAGGUUAGGCAGGUGUCUUCUUUUCCUCCGUUCCACUUUGUGCACAUCCCUCCAAAAGCUUGGUGCUUGGUUUAGAAGGAAAACUUUCUCUAAUCCAGGCGAACCAUUCUGCAGUCAAGUGUACCUAUCCUGGUAGCUGUGCUCCCCUACCAGAGCCUCCAAACAAGCUCUCAAGGUCCAACUGCUAGUGCAGCAAGAUUUAAUGUCACAGUGGCAGGAUUGUACCCAACCUGC